Molecule: transfer RNA, 73 nt
Filed under: Aspidoscelis inornatus (Little striped whiptail)
Lineage: Eukaryota; Metazoa; Chordata; Lepidosauria; Squamata; Teiidae
Description: tRNA-Asn
Source: RNAcentral
UGGAUAAAAGCCCGCUGGUUUGGGUUUUUAGCUGUUAAUUAAAUAUUCGUGGGAUCGAGGCCCGCUUAUCCAG